AUUGAACGCUGGCGGAAUGCUUUACACAUGCAAGUCAAGCGGCAGCGCGGCCUUCGGGCUGGCGGCGAGCGGCGAACGGGUGAGUAAUGCAUCGGAACAUGCCCAGUCGUGGGGGAUAACACUUCGAAAGAAGUGCUAAUACCGCAUACGUCCUGAGGGGGAAAGCGGGGGAUCGCAAGACCUCGCGCGAUUGGAGUGGCCGAUGUCAGAUUAGCUAGUUGGUGGGGUAAAGGCCUACCAAGGCGACGAUCUGUAGCUGGUCUGAGAGGAUGAUCAGCCACACUGGGACUGAGACACGGCCCAGACUCCUACGGGAGGCAGCAGUGGGGAAUUUUGGACAAUGGGGGCAACCCUGAUCCAGCCAUUCCGCGUGAGUGAAGAAGGCCUUCGGGUUGUAAAGCUCUUUCGGCAGGAACGAAACGGUGGGCUCUAACAUAGUCCGCUAAUGACGGUACCUGAAGAAGGAGCACCGGCUAACUACGUG
RNAcentral lists this ribosomal RNA (484 nucleotides) under uncultured bacterium. RNAcentral describes it as "partial 16S ribosomal RNA". It matches the Rfam family "Bacterial small subunit ribosomal RNA", at positions 30 to 507 of the family's 1533-position model. The record is from RNAcentral.